This 253-nucleotide ribosomal RNA is filed under the name uncultured bacterium. RNAcentral's name for it is "partial 16S ribosomal RNA". It matches the Rfam family "Bacterial small subunit ribosomal RNA", at positions 524 to 776 of the family's 1533-position model. The record is from RNAcentral.
UACGUAGGGGGCAAGCGUUGUCCGGAAUUAUUGGGCGUAAAGAGCUCGUAGGCGGUCUGUCGCGUCGGAUGUGAAAACUCGGGGCUCAACCCCGAGCCUGCAGUCGAUACGGGCAGACUAGAGUGCGGUAGGGGAGACUGGAAUUCCUGGUGUAGCGGUGAAAUGCGCAGAUAUCAGGAGGAACACCGGUGGCGAAGGCGGGUCUCUGGGCCGUAACUGACGCUGAGGAGCGAAAGCGUGGGGAGCAAACAGG